CUGCUCAGACUAGCCAUGCACGUCUAAGUACAAACUAAAUGAUGGUGAAACUGCAAAUGGGCUCAUUACAACGGUUAUGAUGUACCCGGGAGUUCCGAUGGAUAUUUCCAGUAACACUAGAACUAAUACAUGUCCCUGCGUUUAUUAGUUACGCACAGUCCGUCGCUGAGUCAUGGUAAACAGUUGAUCGACUCGACGUCCCGGAACAGUUUCCGCCCCAUCAGCUUCGAUGGUUGGGUAUUGGCCUACCAUUGCAACAACGGGUAACGAGGAAUUAGGGUUUGAUUUCGGAGAGGGAGCCUGAGAAACGGCUACCACAUCUACGGAUGGCAGCAGGCGCGCAAAUUACCCAAUGCAGACACUGUGAGGUAGUGACGAGAAAUAAUAAAGCGGGACUUCUGUUUCGCUAUUAUAAUGAGGAAUAACCAAAGGUCAUUCCGAUUAGCAACUGAUGGGAAAGUCUGGUGCCAGCAGCCGCGGUAAUACCAGCGUCAGUAGCA
RNAcentral lists this ribosomal RNA (500 nucleotides) under uncultured Myrionecta. RNAcentral describes it as "SSU rRNA". It matches the Rfam family "Eukaryotic small subunit ribosomal RNA", at positions 36 to 598 of the family's 1831-position model. Lineage: Eukaryota; Ciliophora; Litostomatea; Cyclotrichida; Mesodiniidae. The record is from RNAcentral.